RNAcentral lists this long non-coding RNA (4041 nucleotides) under Penaeus japonicus. Its description in RNAcentral is "uncharacterized LOC122252671". Lineage: Eukaryota; Metazoa; Arthropoda; Malacostraca; Decapoda; Penaeidae. The record is from RNAcentral.
CUAGUCACGCCAGUGCAAUUCCUGCUCUAAAUGGUCAGAAUGCUGGGGUUUUAGAACACAUAAGCCUAAUGCCUUGGGAUUCUCGGGUGCACUAUCCAUGAGUGAGUGAUGUAAGCCUGCUCAUCUGGCGCGCCUGCCUUGAUAAAAUAUCUAAUCGCCGGCGUCUGACCCAAAAACCACUGAACGUGACAGCAAGUCAGUCGGCGCAAAUGGGUUAAGUGGUAUUUUACUGUACCUGGGAUAUGAUGAGAUUUUAGUCAAAACUGAUAUUUCAAUCAUUAUUUUGUUUGUAGUUGGUUUACCGGAAGAUUUUAGGCAGUCAUCACAACUACCAGUAGGUUAAAUUUUAGAACAGAAUAUGUUAUCAUUGUAAAUACAAAUUUACAAAGAAUCAAGAGAUAAACAUAUGAGAAUUAAGAUCAGAAGAGAUGUAGUGAAACAGUUGAUGUGCAACACGAUUUUUCAGUAGGUUUGUUGAAGAGAUGAUUCAAUAUCUGUUAUUUUCUCGGCUUGAUGAGACAUAUCUUUGAUAUUAACAUCUUUGUAUCUGUAGCCUUGGGAACUAGGUAGAAAGAUAAUUUGAUGUCAUCUUUUGUGUUGCAGCAUAUGCUCUAGCAAAGCAAACUUUUGUUCCCAUCUAUAAAUAAGAUUGCCAUGAGAGAUGCUGAUAAUCCUUAACCCUUCUGCAUUGGGCAUGUUUAUUGGGGUAGGAUCACUUUUGUACUGGAUUCUUCUAAUUGUUGAAAUUACAAGCUAUUUAUUUCUUUUAAUUUAUGUAACUAUGUGUAAUUUAAUGCCAAUUAGUAUCACAGGGCUUAUACCAAAAAUAGACUUCUAUCAUACCAUAAAACUAUUGAAUAAUAGAAAACACAUCUUAAGAUGCCCACCCCAAGUUGCACAUCUUAAGAUGUGGCCUGUCCAGGAAGGGUUAAAAAGAAUUAGUUAAAUGUCUUUGUGGAGAACUGUGGCCAGGGCUCACAUCAAGUAAUGUAUCAGGCAUUAAAGCAGUAUAUUUUAUAGUUUUGUUUGGUAUUUAGUUUGAGUGUUGCAAAGUAUUUUAUCGUCAUUUAUGUGCUUCAUACCCAAUAAAAAGUUGAUUUCUGCUUUUCUGGAUAAAAGUAUUUAGUACAUGUGAAGUGGUACUGCAAACUAUGUAGAAAAUAGUUUUUGUGUGAUAAUUUUAUACUCAUCCAAUCACCAUUUGAUUUUUUUUCUUUUUACACAAUAAAUCAACUUUUGCACUUUCAUUGAUAUGAGAAAAUAUUUAUUUGUUAUAUGUCUUAUGAUUAACUACCAGCACACUAUCACUUCCACCCCACAUAACCAGUUAUGUAGCAAAUAUGUAUCCACCAUUUUCUACAUGUUCUUUAUUGUUAUACCAUCCAACUACCUAACAGUUCUUUAUGUGCUUCAAGCAAAUCAUCCUUCACCCUUUGCUUGGUGGUUUCAGUUUAUUUACAGGAAUACAGCUACCUGAGAUUUCUAUUGCAGUCUUUAACCCAUUCACACCGGUUCUUAUAUUUGUGUAAUGCUACUCCUGCCAGUUAGAUAACAAGUGUGCGCAGUGACUAAGCAUGAGAUCUCUCCCGGUGUGAUGCCGUGCUGUGCCUCUAUGAGCUCCUAUGAUAAUGUGCAUACGUAAUGAUGUAAAACCUGUUUUGAGGGUGAGAUCAUGACGUUGUUGGACAUCACUUGGAGGGACUGAAAUAUUUUGAUGACAUGAUUGGACAUCACCCGGAUUGAAUGGAUUAAAUUAAUGAAAUUCAAAAUUGUUCCCAAAUCUUAUGUGAAAUUUAGAUUAGCAGUAUAAGGAUAAGGAUAUAUGAUAUAUGUAUUUGUAUUUCUUGUUUGUAUUUCUGUUUAUUCUACCAAUUCAAGAAACAGAAAAAUCACAAGAAAAUAAUUUUGUCUGGUCUCUCACAUGUAAUCUCUCCUGAAAAAGGAACCAUCUUUGAAAUUUUUUGACCUUUGGUACUUGUGGAAAUCCUGAAACCUCCCUUCAUUGAGAACUUACCCCACUUGUUCUUCAUCAGCUCUCUUAUGGAGUGAGAGGAUUAUAGCAGAAUCUGAGUCCAACAUGAACUAUUUUCAGCAUAGCAGUCAUUGAUGUAUAUACUUGGGUUACUAAUAGGGGAAUAAUUUUUAGUCCUUUAUCCCCUCCUAUUUUAUUGCAUUUAUAUUUACUGAAUUUAACACAAGUUUGUGACUACCUGAACAGAUCACGUGGUUUCUCAAAAUUUGACAAAAUCAGCUUUACCAUACAACUAUCCUACCACCUCUAGCAGCCUAGCUUCUUUCAAGCUUGUUACCUGUUGGUAAAAACCAGCACAAAACUAGAAAUGUAUCGCCUUUUGUUAUGCAAGAAGCCAUAUCUGUUUUCUAAAUAUGUAUGUUAUGUCAUAGGAUAUUAAGAAGGUUUAUAAAUAGCACUUAAAUCUAAUUAUACCAAUAAUUUUGCUGAGUUUUUAUUGAUUUUAUUAGCACAAUAAUAAACACUUCUACCAGGUGAUGCCAUAACUCCCAUUCUGUUACUUAGAUAAAAUAGUUUAAAAUGACAGAUAUGAGCAGGAUAAUCUUAUUAAUUCUUUAACAACAUUGCCAUGAAUCUACAAGAAAGCCAGAAAGAAUUUCUGUUGAAAGAAUUUCAUGUAUAAGCAGCACCUUGAACGUCAAUCCUAUCACUUCCUAUCUAAUCCUACAGUUUGUAAGGGUGUUUUAUGAGCUAUUUUUUCAUAUGCAGAUAUCAUAGUCAUGCCUCUGCUGUGUUUGGCAAAACCAUACAUUUUGUCUUGUGCUUUAUCAUUUCAGUUAGGUCUUCCAUGCUAUGAUUCUGAAGAUUGCUUAAUAUGUAGAAGCAGCUGUUUCAGUUUUUGCUGCUGCGCAUUGGCAAUUUAUUCAUUCUGAUUUUAAUUUCUACCAUAUUAUUGGUGUCAUUUUACAAAACAAUAUGGCCACCUUUAUCAUUCUUAUUACUGUUAUUGAAAUUAUCAUAUGUAAUGUAGAAUGUAUGCAUCAUUUACUGUUCAAAAUGAACAGUAAAUUUUGUAAUUAUCAGAAUGAAUAUCCACUUAACAAAUUUUAUAUGUUCUAAGGUUUAAUUAUGCAAGCUUAAAAAGAGCAGAAAUAAGUGUAUAUAGACUAGGCAAGACUUUGAAGUCAGUGCUGUCUUGUCAUGCUAUGUCAAAGGUACAGAAUUAAGUGUUAUUAGUAUUAUUAAUGAAUCAUGCUGAAACUCUGUCUAAACUUUUGCAAAUUUGUAAACCUUUAACUAGAUGUUUCUUAAUUACAUAUUGUUUAUAACUACCAAUAUGGAGAGUCCUCUGCAUUAUCACUUAUCAAGAUAGCCUUAACUAGCAAUGUGCAAAAAAUAAAGUAAGUCAAUAUAUGCAACCAGAUAUUAGACUAGUAAAGAUUUGAAAAGUCAAAUGUGGAUUUAAUGAUGUAGGAAAAUAUUGUAAUGACUCAAGUGACAAUUAUUUCAUCAAGCUAGUUGUGGAAAACAUUAUUAUUUGUCAUCAAUGUAAUGAAAUGUCUUUUGUAGUGUAAAUAAAGUGUUUGUAGUACAUGGACCAUUGCUGCUAUGAAUAGCACACAAAUUUUGUUAUGAUUUUCUGGACAAUAUUUGUAAACCUGAAAGAAAGUCUGGAAGUCUGUGUUAUACAUUGAGUUUGAAAUAUAUGGUAUGAGUGAAGUGGUGACCUGACUAAGUACAAGUGAAAUAUUAUCAGAUUGUACCUCAAGAUUAACAUAAUCUGAAAAUUUUCAUGCGAAAUAGCAGAAAUCAACUAUGGUAUUAAGAUCUUGGACAAAAAUCCAGGUGAUAUGAACAUGCAAUUCUUGAUAUGUAGAAAGUUUAUAUGUAUUACUAUUUUAUAGGAUACUGUUGUAGCUCUAUAAGAAAAUUUGAUAAGAAGUACACAUGAAAAUUUAGAAAAAUAUUUUUAUUUUUUUGGUUAUUUUCUCUUUCAUGUAACAUUAUAGUUGUAUAUAGACGGCUUCACCAGAUUUUGAAACUGUAUCAAUAAAUGAUUUUCUGUUUAA